Molecule: ribosomal RNA, 253 nt
Filed under: uncultured bacterium
Lineage: Bacteria
Description: partial 16S ribosomal RNA
Rfam family: Bacterial small subunit ribosomal RNA
Source: RNAcentral
UACGUAGGUGGCAAGCGUUGUCCGGAAUUAUUGGGCGUAAAGAGCGCGUAGGCGGUGCGGUAAGUCACCUGUGAAACCUCUGGGCUUAACCCAGAGCCUGCAGGCGAAACUGCCGUGCUAGAGUGUGGGAGAGGUGCGUGGAAUUCCCGGUGUAGCGGUGAGAUGCGUAGAUAUCGGGAGGAACACCUGUGGCGAAAGCGGCGCACUGGACCACAACUGACGCUGAGGCGCGAAAGCUAGGGGAGCAAACAGG